RNAcentral lists this ribosomal RNA (171 nucleotides) under uncultured Campylobacterota bacterium. Its description in RNAcentral is "uncultured Epsilonproteobacteria bacterium partial 16S ribosomal RNA". It matches the Rfam family "Bacterial small subunit ribosomal RNA", at positions 337 to 525 of the family's 1533-position model. RNAcentral also lists the same sequence under 1 other name. Lineage: Bacteria; Pseudomonadati; Campylobacterota. The record is from RNAcentral.
UCCUACGGGAGGCAGCAGUGAGGAAUAUUGCACAAUGGAGGAAACUCUGAUGCAGCAACGCCGCGUGGAGGAUGACGCAUUUCGGUGUGUAAACUCCUUUUAAGAGGGAAGAUUAUGACGGUACCUCUUGAAUAAGCACCGGCUAACUCCGUGCCAGCAGCCGCGGUAAUA